GGUUGCAGAAGAUUUGCUUUGACCUCAAAGUACAUUCUUCGUUUCCUUGGUGAUAAAGACCUCAGUCACAGGACAACUGGGUAAACUGAAGGAGCCAAUGCAGCAAAAGAAGGUGGACUUUGCCUUCCAGUUCAGGGUCUUUUAUUACUGGUACUACUAAGGCAAUCUUGGCAAAGUGUCAUUCGUAUUUGUCUAUGAACUUUGUCCUUGGCUACAUAAGAGGGUAUACUGUUAUAAGGCAAGGCAGCAGCACUCCUUUUAUGACAUCAGAGAAGUCUUUGCUAAUGAUUCUGUUGCAUGCUUACCUAAUGUAAAAUAGUAGGCACAUAGUUGAAUCAAGGUUCAGGCAGAGAGGAUCACUUUUAAAAGACUGUAAAAGAAGUUACGUGGAUACUGUGUGUUAUGCAUCAAGAUUCCACAUUUAAGUGAGAGCAUGUGAUCUUUUUCUUUCUGUUUGUGGCUUAUUUCACUUAGAAUAAUGCACUCCAGCUUCAUUCAUAUGGUGGUUGGCAAGCGGUUAAUGCCUCUGUGUUUUAAAAGACUUAUUUUGCCAGAGAAACCCCAAACCUGGAAAGCAACGGCCUGUGAGUACUCAACCCUUAAGACAAUCCUAAACACCCCAAACCUAUCCCAGCAGGAAGUGAGCUGCUAAGGAGAUGUAGCCCACAGAAGAGGUCUCCAAACCUGUGGGCUACAUCACCCAGAGUUCACUGGGGCCACAGAAGAUAAGGGACAAAGGAGAUCCUUGCAGAGAACUCAUCAGGACAGCCAGAUUGGCUAAGGAGCUCACAUCACCUCCAGGUCAGGAUACUUCGUGCUUCCAGUUCUGCACAUCAUAGGAAUUGCUACAUAGCAGAGACUACUUUUUGCUGUUUCCCAUUCUCUUCCUUAUCAAAUGGAUGAUUUUUUUUGGUAAUUAUCCUAUUCUUUCUCUGUCCCUUCAUGUAUUGCAUUUAUGGUUGUAUUGGAGCCGUAGUUUGCUGAGCCAGAAGGAACCACCACACCAGGACCUGACUAAGAAGAAUCGCCCAGAAAUCCUGAACUUGGAGCAAUAACUAGGACCUACAGGCUACAGAACAAUUUAAAAACAGGCAGUGAAGAAAUUCCAGGGGAAAAUGUUUCACUUCUAUGCUGGAGCUACGGAACUCUAAACCCACGGGCAGAGUGUGAGGGGUCCUUAAUUUGAAUUGUGCGUAGACGAGACUCCAUCUUCUAGAAUUUCUAAUCCUUUCCAGCCUUGAGAGAACCAGUUGCAGAUGUGUAAAGAAAUAUCCUAUGGUUACAGUGGCACCUACAGGACAAAUGGAAAUGUUUCAACUUGUUUCUUGGUGCUUUUUUGUGGGGUGGAGGAGUCAGUGAAACAACAGGCAGUGAAAUAAAUAAAUAAAUAAAUAACCAUGCAUCAACCUUAUUGAUCCAGGC
Non-coding RNA from Macaca mulatta (Rhesus monkey), 1422 nucleotides. The record is from RefSeq and is a predicted model, not a curated record. Lineage: Eukaryota; Metazoa; Chordata; Mammalia; Primates; Cercopithecidae.